Long non-coding RNA from Colias croceus (clouded yellow), 462 nucleotides. RefSeq lists it as uncharacterized. The record is from RefSeq and is a predicted model, not a curated record. NCBI's taxonomy places the organism in Eukaryota, Metazoa, Arthropoda, Insecta, Lepidoptera, Pieridae. The transcript is spliced from 2 exons.
GGUGUAUUACGGUGCUUAUCAACGAUUACACCGAACGUCACUAUUUUUUAUCGACAUUAUGCAGCCAAAUUAAAAAUAUAUACAUUUGGUCGUACAUUCCAUAAAUACGUGAGCAUAUUUAAAUCUUACGUGUUAUAUUAACCGGAACACUUGGGAUUUGAAAUGUUUACUCUAUAAGGCGCUAAAUUCAUAACACUUGAAUUUUGGUCUGUCUACAAUUACAAUAAUUUUGGUCGUCGUUUUGUGUACACAAGUGUAUUUGAAAGUUAGAAACAGUAACAAAUGAAUAAAACUGAGUAAGCCAAGAUGAGAGAGUGCCUCGUUGGGCCUAUGAGUUGGAAAGCAAGUGAUUGGCUGUUGAGGAAAGGCAUACAGCUGCUAUAGAAAAAUUAGCUGCAUCACUUACCAAGAUACAGGAAGAUAUACAUAUAUAUAUUAGUAAAUUAAAAUGAUUUUAAAUAG